Stegastes partitus (bicolor damselfish) is the source of this 631-nucleotide long non-coding RNA. RefSeq lists it as uncharacterized. The record is from RefSeq and is a predicted model, not a curated record. The transcript is spliced from 2 exons. Lineage: Eukaryota; Metazoa; Chordata; Actinopteri; Pomacentridae.
UCUGCAGCCGUGCUACGAGCGGGUCAAGGACUGGCUGAACGACAACCUUGUGGCUCUGUGGAUCUUCGCUCUAUGCACAGCCCUCACUCAGAUCCUGGGCCUGGUCUUCUCCAUGACGAUGUUCUGCCAGGCGGUGAAAGUCGAGACCUUCUACGCUUAGCGGCGCCGCCGACCUUCAGCCCUCCACUCGGAUCGGUUCUCCUCCAGAGGGACGGACAUCCUUCCUCCUCCUCCUCCUCCUCCUCCUCUUUGACAGACUCUUCUCUCGGUGACUUUGGCUCUCGGGUGUCGCCGGCUUCACCGUUUCUUCUUUUCCUGCUAACUGUCAGCGAGCACAGCGUCGUGUGAAGCCUCCGUUCUUUGGUUUGCUCUGUGUUGAAGCUAAUUUCUUCUGUGACACGUUUUUCUCAAACAGUAUUAUGAACAUGUAUAAAAAAAACUAAAAAGAACAAAAAACAAGCGACUCAGUGUAACCCCCUCCGUCUUUUAUAAUAUGUGUUUUAAAUUAUUUUACGGUUCGUACGUGUUUUUGGAAAACGAGCGCUCCAGAUGAGGAACGUGCACUGAACCCGUGUGAAGUGCUGCAAGUGCAUGACUCCUGCCAUGAAGUGUAUUAAAUGUUCUGGCUCGA